CAGUCGCCGCGGUAAUACGUAGGUGGCGAGCGUUGUCCGGAAUUAUUGGGCGUAAAGGGAGCGCAGGCGGGCGAGUAAGUCUUUCUUAAAAGUGCGGGGCUCAACCCCGUGAGGGGAGAGAAACUACUCAUCUUGAGUGCAGGAGAGGAAAGCGGAAUUCCUAGUGUAGCGGUGAAAUGCGUAGAUAUUAGGAAGAACACCAGUGGCGAAGGCGGCUUUCUGGACUGUAACUGACGCUGAGGCUCGAAAGCGUGGGGAGCGAACAGGAUUAGAUACCCCUGUAGUCCCUGUCUCUUAUACA
This 301-nucleotide ribosomal RNA is filed under the name uncultured bacterium. RNAcentral's name for it is "partial 16S ribosomal RNA". It matches the Rfam family "Bacterial small subunit ribosomal RNA", at positions 509 to 808 of the family's 1533-position model. The record is from RNAcentral.